UGAGGCUCCAGGUCCUAUCCCAGCAUCACCAUCAGCCAGAGCUGAGCAGGGCUUUGGGUUUAAAAAUUAUUUUUUAAUUAAAUUGGAAAAAAAAAAAAAACCUCAACUGGAGGGUAGAUAGCAUAAUGGUUCUGCAAACAAACUCUCAAGCCUGAGGUUCCAGUCCCAGGUUCAAUCCCCUGCCCCACCAUCAGCCAGAGCUGAGCAGGGCUCUGGUUUAAAAAAAAAAAAAAUUCUUUCCUAGGAGAAUCUUGUCACCCCAAUGUGCUUGUGUCACCUGACCACCUCGCUUCCCAUGAAGCCAGUUCCCCACCUGAGGCACAAGGAAGGCGGGGAGGAGGGCUCCCCAUGCCUGGCGAGGUCUGGGUGCAGGGGCCCCGCCCGCCGGCGGCAGAGGCAGGGGCUGGCUGGAGGGAGGGCAGCGCCCGGUGACGGCGUCCCAGCCCGGGGAUGACGUGGUUGGGAGCCCAUUUGAUGUCCAGUUUUUCCAGAAUCUCCACUCGGUGCCACUUCUCUGCACACCGCGCUCCCGGUGGCCUCCCACCUCCCCUGAGCUGCACCCAGGGCCCCGGGUCCCGUCCCGUCUUGUCCCACAGAGCCCUGCCUAGCUCUGACUUAUGGAGGCGCUGGGGGGACUGAACCUGGGACUGUGGAGCCUGAGGCCCGAGAGCCUGCUUGCAGAGCCUGUGCUGUCUGCCCCCGCCCCUCACUCCUGGCUGAGGCAGCUGGUGUGACACUCUGGGAGUCCCAGCAGCUCCCACUUGCUGCCCUGGUGUCCUUGCCUGUCCUUGAUUCCCGUCACCUCCAAGUUGCUCUGCGUGAGAGGACCCCGGGGUAGAGGCCUUUCCACUGGCCCCCAGAGAGCGCCAGUCUGCGCUGGGCACUGGGUGCUGGGGAUGUCACGUGACAGCCCCCUGCAUGGGCCCAGCCCCGGUCACCUGCCUCCCCCUCAUCUGCUCUGGACCCGCGUUCCUGGACUUUCUGGGAGGGAAGGCACUUCUCCGUGCCCUAGAGGGAAGCUUCCAGAAUGCUGAGCCCCAGGCAGAAGCUGUUCUCGCUCCCCCAGCGAGCUCUGUGUGGGGCAGCAAAUCUGGGUCCCCUGAGACGGGCAUCUUGGGCUGGUCCCCUGAGACGGGCAUCGUGGGCUGGUCCCUGAGACGGGCAUCGUGGGCUGGUCCCCUGAGACGGGCAUCGUGGGCUGGCCCCUGAGACGGGCAUCGUGGGCUGGUCCCCUGAGACGGGCACCGUGGGCUGGUCCCCUGAGACGGGCACCAUGGGCUGGUCCCCUGAGACGGGCAUCGUGGGCUGGUCCCCUGAGACGGGCAUCGUGGGCUGGUCCCUGAGACGGGCAUCGUGGGCUGGUCCCUGAGACGGGCAUCGUGGGCUGGUCCCUGAGACGGGCAUCGUGGGCUGAUCCCUGAGACGGGCACCGUGGGCUGGUCCCUGAGAUGGGCAUCGUGGGCUGCGUCCUGGCUAGGACACACAUUCUGUGACCUACUGGUCAGGCAAAAAAAGACGGCCAACCUGGUGGGUAUGAGACACCUCGCCACCAUGACUGUCCUCACCUUGCCCAGCUCAAGGCCCUGGGUUCCAGUGCCGCCACCACAUGGAUUAUCAUGGGUGGGGGGAGUUGGGGCAGGAACAGCAACAGUGGGCAGGGCAGUGGGGUCUCUCCUCUCUCAGCACCCUGCACAGCACCCAGGGAGCCCAUGGAGGGUGGGCAGGGCUGUGGGG
Long non-coding RNA from Erinaceus europaeus (western European hedgehog), 1734 nucleotides. RefSeq lists it as uncharacterized. NCBI's taxonomy places the organism in Eukaryota, Metazoa, Chordata, Mammalia, Eulipotyphla, Erinaceidae. The record is from RefSeq and is a predicted model, not a curated record. The transcript is spliced from 3 exons.